UCCAAUCUGGCACCGCCAACUGGCAGGUGUGUGAGCUGGCACAGAUUACUUAACAUCUUUUGGUCUGAGUUUCUUCACCCAUAAAAUGAGAUAACAAUCUCCUCCUAGUGUUGCUGUAAAAAAGAUAAUGUAGCCUGGCACACGAUGUCCAUUGGAUUGGCAGAUUCCCUUCAUUCCCAGGUCCUGCUAACCGUGACACUUCACUCACAUUUACUCCAUGGAUUCUCAAAGGGGUCCCUGGCCCAGAAAAAGCGAAGAGCCACCGACAGCCACCCUGGAGAUUAGCAUCUGGAGCUUUCGUUUAUCCAGUUCCUUCCUUGAUCAAUCAAUGGCGGUGAACCACAUGAUGCCCAACAGUGUCCUUGCCUUGUAUUGACCACAGUUGUGGACUGAGUGAGUAAGGACAUCAAAGAGUGGCAAGGACAUCACAGAAGGAAAAUUGGAACAAAGAGCCCAAAAGAACAUUGAAGUGG
Molecule: long non-coding RNA, 473 nt
Organism: Zalophus californianus (California sea lion)
Lineage: Eukaryota; Metazoa; Chordata; Mammalia; Carnivora; Otariidae
Exons: 3
Source: RefSeq, a predicted model, not a curated record